This 475-nucleotide ribosomal RNA is filed under the name uncultured Desulfobulbus sp. RNAcentral describes it as "bacterial SSU rRNA". It matches the Rfam family "Bacterial small subunit ribosomal RNA", at positions 916 to 1381 of the family's 1533-position model. Lineage: Bacteria; Pseudomonadati; Thermodesulfobacteriota; Desulfobulbia; Desulfobulbales; Desulfobulbaceae. The record is from RNAcentral.
GACGGGGCCCGCACAAGCGGUGGAGUAUGUGGUUUAAUUCGAUGCAGCGCGAAGAACCUUACCUGGUCUUGACAUCCCGGAGACCCUUAGGAAACUAGGGGGUGCUUCCAUCUGGAAGAAUCUGGAGACAGGUGCUGCAUGGCUGUCGUCAGCUCGUGUCGUGAGAUGUUGGGUUAAGUCCCGCAACGAGCGCAACCCUUGCCUUUAGUUGCCAGCAGUUCGGCUGGGCACUCUAAAGGGACUGCCGGUGUUAAACCGGAGGAAGGUGGGGAUGACGUCAAGUCCUCAUGGCCUUUAUGACCAGGGCUACACACGUACUACAAUGGCCGAUACAAAGGGCAGCGACACUGCGAGGUGAAGCCAAUCCCGUAAAAUCGGUCUCAGUCCGGAUUGGAGUCUGCAACUCGACUCCAUGAAGUUGGAAUCGCUAGUAAUCGUGGAUCAGCAUGCCACGGUGAAUACGUUCCCGGGCCUU